AACCAUUCUCACCUGCGGCUAGACCUGCGGAGGGAUCAUUACCGAGUGCGGGCCCUCCGGGUCCAACCUCCCACCCGUGUCUACUACACCUUGUUGCUUCGGCGGGCCCGCCCGCUUGCGGCCGCCGGGGGGCUCCCUUGCCCCCGGGCCCGUGCCCGCCGGAGACACCAGCGUGAACACUGUCUGAAGGCUGCCGUCUGAGUGGAUUGAUAGAAUCGUUAAAACUUUUAACAAUGGAUC
RNAcentral lists this unclassified non-coding RNA (240 nucleotides) under soil metagenome. RNAcentral's name for it is "partial contains 5.8S ribosomal RNA, internal transcribed spacer 2, and large subunit ribosomal RNA". The record is from RNAcentral.